RNAcentral lists this long non-coding RNA (2845 nucleotides) under Octopus vulgaris (common octopus). The record is from RNAcentral. Lineage: Eukaryota; Metazoa; Mollusca; Cephalopoda; Octopoda; Octopodidae.
UCUAUCUAUCUAUCUAUCUAUAUGCAUGCACACACACAAUUGCUUUUGAAUAAAUGUGUGUACACAUACACAUACGCACUCAAACAUGCAUACAUAUACAAACAUAUACAAUUGCUUUAGAACGUGGGUGUAUGUAUAUACACUGAUACACACACCUAUGCACACACGUUCAAUAGUAUUGUUAAGUGAAACAUUAUCAUCACACAGUGAGUGAGUCCUUUGCUUGUUAAGUGAAGCCAUAUUUAUAUAUAUAUAUAUAUAUGUUAAGAUCCAUAUACAUUUUCAUAAAAGCAAUGAAUCUCUGUGUCACCAACAGAUGGACUUAAACAAGGGAAGUAAUCAGGUUAGCCAGUUACUUACAAAUACCAACAUUUAUGUUAUGUUAUGAAAUGAAAAAUAGUUUGUGUGCAGACAGGAGGAGUUCAAAUAGACUUGUCAUUAAAAAAAUUUUUUUUUUAUUAUUCAAGGAAAGGUCCUGCCCCAAAUGUCAGAACUAGCCUUUCCUAACCACAAAUGAACUUUGUUUUAAUUAUACAUUAUAUUCAUCAUUUAUUUUCUGGUACAAACAUCAUUAAUUUUGUCAGACUCUGUUUUUUUGUUUUUGUUUUUAAUUUGUUUUGUGUUUCUGAUGUCACAUAUAAACCCCUAGACCAGGAAUAAUUAUAAUAGGGUCAAAAUUAAAAGAGUGCCAAUGUCAUCUAGUGAACGAUAUUUCGACAUCUUGUGUGUCUUCAACAGGUCACUAGAUGACAAUGGCACUCUUCUUUUAAUUUUGACUCUAUAUCUUCUGGAGGAGUUACCUCAAUCCUUUAUAUAACAAUAAUAAUAAUUGUCAGUGUUUCAGACAAAAUGCUUAGUUGCAUUCCUUCUGCCUCUUUAUGUUUGUAGUUCAAUUGCCACUGAGAUUGAAUUUGCCUUCUAUGCUUUUGGGGUUGAUGAAAGAAGUACCAGUUGAAUACUGGGGUGGGGGAGAAAUGUAAUUGACUUGACCCCACUCCAAAAAUUUCAGACCUUCUGCCUAUAGUAGAAAGUAUUGUUAUUAUUAUAUAUAAAGGUGGCAGAAACAGUAGCAUGCCGGGCAAAAUGAAAUGCUUUGCGGUAUUUUGUCUGUCUUUCUGAAUUCAAAUUCCACCGAGGUCAACUUUGCCUUUCAUCCUUUUGAGGUCAAUGAAUUAAGUACCAGUUGAGUACUGGGGUCGAUGUAAUCGACUAUCCCUCUUCUCCAAAUUUUAGGCCUUGUGCUUACAGUAGAAAGGAUUUUAGGGUUGAUAUACUAAGUACCAGUUGCACACUGGGGUUCAUCUAAUUGACUGGCCCCCUUCCCCCAAAAUUUUGGGCCUUGUGCCUAGAGUAGAAAAGAUUAUUAUUAUUAUUAUUAUUAAAGCAGCAAGCUGGCAGAAACGUUAGCACACCAGGCGAAAUGCUUAGCGGUAUUUCGUCUGUCUUUACGUCCUGUGUUCAAAUUCUACCAAGGUCGACUUUGCCUUUCGUUAUUUUGGGGUCGAUAUACUAAGUACCAGUUGCACACUGGGGUCAAUCUAAUUGACUGACCCCCUCCCCCAAAAUUUAGGGCCUUGUGCCUAGAGUAGAAAAAAUUAUUAUUAUUAAAGCAGCAAGCUGGCAGAAACGUUAGCACGCCGGGUGAAAUGCUUAGUGGUAUUUCGUCUGUCUUUACGUUCUGAGUUCAAAUUCCGCUGAGGUUGACUUUACCUUUCAUCCUUCCGGGGUUGAUAAAAUAAGUGCCCUUGUGGCUAAAAUUUGAAAUCAUUAUUAUUAUUAUUAUUAUUAUUUCAGUCUAUUGAUUCCUAGGUAUCCUAUGUGAUGGUUUUACUUUGUUUUUUUUUACAUCAAGAAAACGGAAUUCAGAUAUUUGUGUCAUCACUGUUAAUUGUGCAACGAUAGGGCAAUGCAGACGAGUGAGGCAGUUGAAAGUUGAAUCGGUGGAGCAAUGGGCAAAUGCAUUGAAGUUACUCCUCUUUAACAUUGAUUUCAAGCCCUGCCAUAGCAACUUAGCCCUAUGUUUGAAGAACAGGAGGGUGGCGAGGGGGGCUUUGUAUCUAUCUUUUUCCCAAUCCUCAGAAGGUUUUUUUUUUGUUUGUGCCCAGAAAUUAUUUAUAUAGCAGAAAUGGUAAAGCAUCAGACAAAAUGCCUUGCAGUAUUUCUUCCAGCUCUUACAUCCUGGGUUCAAACCCUGCCAAGGUCAGCUUUGCUUUUAUCCCUCCAUGGUCAAAUAAAAUAAAAAUAACCAAUUUAGUAAUGGGGAACAAUUUAAUUGACUAACUCUUCCUUGUCCCUAAAAUUUCUGGUUUUGUGCCUAUAUUAGAAAGAUUUCUUAUUCUAUCUAAGGAUAAGGUGACUCGUGUUCUGAGUUCAGAUUCUGCUGAGGUCAACUUUGCCUUUCAUCCUUCUGGGGUCAGUAAAAAUAAGUACCUGUUGGACACUGGGGUCGAUGUAAUUGACUGACCCUUCCUCUUACAAUUGCUGGCCUUGUGCCAAAAUUUUAAAUAAUUAUUUUACCUAUGGGUUAAUUAUCUGUAAUAUUAAUUAAUCAAGCAAUUAUCAAUUCAGUUUGGGAAGCUUAGAACAGGAAACAACCUCCAAGACCUAGUCCAUCUUUCCACACAUUGAGACAUUGGAAGGGUAAUUGUCCUUUCUGUCUUUUGAAGACGGUGUUUUUAUUAUUUUUGUUGUAUAUUAUAUAUUUGUUAUUUUUGUUAUUGAAAAAAUAUCACCAAUUUGUGAAUUCAUAGAAACAAAGUGACUGUUUAUUUUUUAUUUUAUUUUUCAUUUCUGAAAAGACAAUGAAUGAAUGUAGUAAAGUAAAAGACAAGCGCAACUUUAUGGU